GGAGGGUGCAAGCAUUAAUCGGAAUNAUUGGGCGUAAAGGGCGCGUAGGCGGAUAGGUAAGUUAGAUGUGAAAUUCCGGGGCUCAACCUCGGAGCUGCAUUUAAAACUACCGAUCUAGAGGAAUGGCGGAGAAAAUGGAAUUCCACGUGUAGCGGUGAAAUGCGUAGAUAUGUGGAGGAACACCAGUGGCGAAGGCGGUUUUCUAGCUUUUUCCUGACGCUGAGGCGCGAGAGCAAGGGGAGCAAACAGGAUUAGAUACCCUGGUAGUCCACGCCCUAAACGAUGUCAACUGGUUGUUGGGAAUUAGUUUUCUCAGUAACGAAGCUAACGCGUGAAGUUGACCGCCUGGGGAGU
Molecule: ribosomal RNA, 354 nt
Filed under: uncultured bacterium
Lineage: Bacteria
Description: bacterial SSU rRNA
Rfam family: Bacterial small subunit ribosomal RNA
Source: RNAcentral